UGCAGUCGAACGGUAACAGCGGAGCUUGCUCCGGCUGACGAGUGGCGGACGGGUGAGUAACGCGUAGGAAUCUACCCAGUAGCGGGGGAUAGCCCGGGGAAACUCGGAUUAAUACCGCAUACGCCCUACUCUUUUGUGAGAUGGGGAAAGGGGGGGAUCUUUUCGGAGACCUCUCACUAUUGGAGGAGCCUGCGUUGGAUUAGCUAGUUGGUAAGGUAAAGGCUUACCAAGGCAACGAUCCAUAGCUGGUCUGAGAGGACGAUCAGCCACACUGGAACUGAGACACGGUCCAGACUCCUACGGGAGGCAGCAGUAGGGAAUAUUGUGCAAUGGGGGGAACCCUGACACAGCCAUGCCGCGUGUGUGAAGAAGGCCCUAGGGUUGUAAAGCACUUUCAGUUGUGAGGAAUAAGCCGGGUUAAUACCCUGGUUUAAUGACGUUAGCAACAGAAGAAGUACCGGCUAACUCCGUGCCAGCAGCCGCGGUAAUACGGAGGGUACGAACGUUAAUCGGAAUUACUGGGCGUAAAGCGCACGUAGGUGGUUUAUUAAGUGGGAUGUGAAAGCCCCGGGCUCAACCUGGGAACUGCAUUCCAAACUGAUGAACUAGAGUACGGUAGAGGGGGGUAGAAUUCAGAGUGUAGCGGUGAAAUGCGUAGAUAUUCUGAGGAAUACCGGUGGCGAAGGCGGCCCCCUGGAUUGAUACUGACACUGAGGUGCGAAAGCGUGUGGAGCAAACAGGAUUAGAUACCCUGGUAGUCCACGCCGUAAACGAUGUCUACUA
RNAcentral lists this ribosomal RNA (783 nucleotides) under uncultured bacterium. RNAcentral describes it as "bacterial SSU rRNA". It matches the Rfam family "Bacterial small subunit ribosomal RNA", at positions 56 to 818 of the family's 1533-position model. The record is from RNAcentral.